UACGUAGGGUGCGAGCGUUAAUCGGAUUUACUGGGCGUAAAGCGUGCGCAGGCGGUGAUGUAAGACAGAUGUGAAAUCCCCGGGCUCAACCUGGGACCUGCAUUUGUGACUGCAUCGCUAGAGUACGGUAGAGGGGGAUGGAAUUCCGCGUGUAGCAGUGAAAUGCGUAGAUAUGCGGAGGAACACCGAUGGCGAAGGCAAUCCCCUGGACCUGUACUGACGCUCAUGCACGAAAGCGUGGGGAGCAAACAGG
RNAcentral lists this ribosomal RNA (253 nucleotides) under uncultured microorganism. Its description in RNAcentral is "partial 16S ribosomal RNA". It matches the Rfam family "Bacterial small subunit ribosomal RNA", at positions 524 to 776 of the family's 1533-position model. The record is from RNAcentral.